Molecule: ribosomal RNA, 465 nt
Filed under: uncultured bacterium
Lineage: Bacteria
Description: bacterial SSU rRNA
Rfam family: Bacterial small subunit ribosomal RNA
Source: RNAcentral
ACCCAAUAGAUACCCUGGUAGUCCACGCCCUAAACGAUGAUUACUCGACAUACGCGAUAUACAGUGUGUGUCUGAGCGAAAGCAUUAAGUAAUCCACCUGGGAAGUACGUCCGCAAGGAUGAAACUCAAAGGAGUUGACGGGGGUCCGGCACAAGCGGUGGAGUAUGUGGUUUAAUUCGAUGAUACGCGAGGAACCUUACCUGGGCUAGAAUGCUAUCUGCCCGUACCUGAAAGGGUAUUUUGUAGCAAUACACAGAUAGUAAGGUGCUGCAUGGCUGUCGUCAGCUCGUGCCGUGAGGUGUUGGGUUAAGUCCCGCAACGAGCGCAACCCCCACUCUUCAGUUGCCAGCACGUAAUGGUGGGAACUCUGAAGAAACUGCCGUCGUAAGACGCGAGGAAGGGAGGGGAUGAUGUCAAGUCAUCAUGGCCUUUAUGCCCAGGGCUACACACGUACUACAAUGGGGA